GUUUAGUCUCAAGUCCAAAUAGAGGGCGCUUCACGUAAUAUGAUCAGACGCGAUAACAUGCCGAGUUCUGAAACCAGUCUCUGUUUUUUAUAUUGUUGAUUGAUGUUUUAAAUGCUGUUUUUCUGUAGAGUUGUCCAUGACAACUAAUGUAAAAGAAAACAGUGUGUGCAAGCAGUAAAAUUGGUAGCAAAUCGGGGUUUAUACGGCUAACAGAACAUGUUUAAGGCAUUCAUCUGGAAUUGGCUGUGUUGAAGUAGUGAUGAGAUGAUUCUAUGCAUUCUGCUAUUAGCAAUGUCUAUCAGUCAGCGUUCCAUCCAGAAGCAUCCCAAAAGGCCAUAUUCCCACUCUUUGGUAUCAUGGACCUAAAAAAACCCACCAGAUUCAAGUAUUUAAUUGUGCUGUACUUUGCAUCCAUUUAUUAUGUCAUGACAUAACAACAUCAGCAGUUUGAGGAAAUUUUUUAUAAAAAAAAACCUAUGUUGCUACUUAUUUGUAGGCUGGUUAAAAAUAUUACUUUAUUUAUUCAAACAUCACAUCUCAAACAAUAAUAUAAGUGACCAAAGACCAAAUUGCAUGUUACAUGUGUUACAUAAUAUUCAUUAAAAAAGGAUAUAUAGGGGCCUAUAAUAAAAGACUAUACAAUUAAAAUGUUGUAACAUCAGAAAAAAGUACAAAAUGGAAAAAUCAAAGUGAUAAAAAAAAAUUACAACAAAUAAUUUGAGCAACUAAAUAAUAAAGUAAGGGGGCAUCUCAUAUUGCCAAGUUUGCUGUUAGUCAAGAAUAACAUUAUAAUUUAAAAAUUAUAAUUAUAAUAAAAAUUAUUGGAGAGCUGUGGACAAUAGGCCAGGGUCUAAGCCUUAGUAGUAGUAUAGUUGUAUGGUAGUAGGGUAAAUAUUUAUUAAUAAUUAUUAUAUUACAGUAUUGAGGUGUAGAAAUAAAGGGGAAAAUAAACUAUUUGGGCCUUAAACAGGUUGCUCUGCUAGGUACUUCUUCAGAGAAAGAAGGCGAACUUGUCAUGCAAACUAGGCCUAGUGUUGCAUUGAUCUUUCUUGCAUCAUGAUUGAUGAUAUGGGAUAGGGAUGGUAGGUCCAUCUUCCAUCUACGCCAAGGGUAGGCCUUGCCUAGACUGGGCCUAGAUAGGGUCAUGAGAUGCAUCCCUCCUUACAAUUUUACCUAGAUCGUUGUGGGUUACGUAUACAGUAAAAAUAGUGAAAACUUAUUCUGAGAAAAACCAUAGUCUGCAAUUGGUGAAUCAAACCUAUACUUUCUUGGGAUCACUCUCACUCGCACCGUAUCCGUAUUCGAGUGCGAGUUGGUUGACUCUUGUGCCAACUUGUGCGAUGAUUUUAUCUUAUCAUUAGCCAAUCAGAGCGCUUUAUAUGUUUCCCUAUGCUUGGCUCUUCACGAAAAAAAAAAAAAAAAAAAUCGCGGCCCGCUGG
Molecule: long non-coding RNA, 1439 nt
Organism: Anneissia japonica
Lineage: Eukaryota; Metazoa; Echinodermata; Crinoidea; Comatulida; Comatulidae
Exons: 3
Source: RefSeq, a predicted model, not a curated record